RNAcentral lists this ribosomal RNA (465 nucleotides) under Vreelandella stevensii. RNAcentral describes it as "partial 16S ribosomal RNA". It matches the Rfam family "Bacterial small subunit ribosomal RNA", at positions 338 to 795 of the family's 1533-position model. The record is from RNAcentral. Lineage: Bacteria; Pseudomonadati; Pseudomonadota; Gammaproteobacteria; Oceanospirillales; Halomonadaceae.
CCUACGGGUGGCUGCAGUGGGGAAUAUUGGACAAUGGGGGGAACCCUGAUCCAGCCAUGCCGCGUGUGUGAAGAAGGCCCUCGGGUUGUAAAGCACUUUCAGUGAGGAAGAACGCCUGGUGGUUAAUACCCAUCAGGAAAGACAUCACUCACAGAAGAAGCACCUGCUAACUCCGUGCCAGCAGCCGCGGUAAUACGGAGGGUGCGAGCGUUAAUCGGAAUUACUGGGCGUAAAGCGCGCGUAGGUGGCUUGAUAAGCCGGUUGUGAAAGCCCCGGGCUCAACCUGGGAACGGCAUCCGGAACUGUCAAGCUAGAGUGCAGGAGAGGAAGGUAGAAUUCCCGGUGUAGCGGUGAAAUGCGUAGAGAUCGGGAGGAAUACCAGUGGCGAAGGCGGCCUUCUGGACUGACACUGACACUGAGGUGCGAAAGCGUGGGUAGCAAACAGGAUUAGAUACCCGUGUAGUC